This 336-nucleotide unclassified non-coding RNA is filed under the name soil metagenome. Its description in RNAcentral is "partial contains 5.8S ribosomal RNA, internal transcribed spacer 2, and large subunit ribosomal RNA". The stretch from base 1 to 120 matches the Rfam family "5.8S ribosomal RNA", at positions 35 to 154 of the family's 154-position model. The record is from RNAcentral.
GAUGAAGAACGCAGCGAAAUGCGAUAAGUAAUGUGAAUUGCAGAAUUCAGUGAAUCAUCGAAUCUUUGAACGCACAUUGCGCCCGCCAGUAUUCUGGCGGGCAUGCCUGUUCGAGCGUCAUUUCAACCAUCAAGCCCCAGGCUUGUGUUGGGGACCUGCGGCUGCCGCAGGCCCUGAAAACCAGUGGCGGGCUCGCUAGUCACACCGAGCGUAGUAGCAUACACAUCGCUCAGGGCGUGCUGCGGGUUCCGGCCGUUAAACCCCGUUUUUACCCAAGGUUGACCUCGGAUCAGGUAGGAAGACCCGCUGAACUUAAGCAUAUCAAUAAGCGGAGGA